AUUGAACGCUGGCGGAAUGCUUUACACAUGCAAGUCGAACGGCAGCACGGACUUCGGUCUGGUGGCGAGUGGCGAACGGGUGAGUAAUGUAUCGGAACGUGCCCAGUCGUGGGGGAUAACGUAGUGAAAAUUACGCUAAUACCGCAUACGAUCUAUGGAUGAAAGCGGGGGAUCGCAAGACCUCGCGCGAUUGGAGCGGCCGAUAUCAGAUUAGGUAGUUGGUGGGGUAAAGGCCCACCAAGCCAACGAUCUGUAGCUGGUCUGAGAGGACGACCAGCCACACUGGAACUGAGACACGGUCCAGACGCCUACGGGAGGCAGCAGUGGGGAAUUGUGGACAAUGGGCGAAAGCCUGAUCCAGCCAUUCCGCGUGCAGGAUGAAGGCCCUCAGGUUGUAAACUGCUUUUGUACAGAACGAAAAGGUUUCUACUAAUACUAGGAGCUCAUGACGGUACUGUAAGAAUAAGCACCGGCUAACUACGUGCCAGCCGCCGCCGUAA
This 500-nucleotide ribosomal RNA is filed under the name uncultured bacterium. Its description in RNAcentral is "partial 16S ribosomal RNA". It matches the Rfam family "Bacterial small subunit ribosomal RNA", at positions 30 to 523 of the family's 1533-position model. The record is from RNAcentral.